AGUAAGGUAAGCUAAAUAUUAAGCUAAUAGGUUCAUACCCUAUAUAUAGAAGUAAUAAUCUUCUCCUUCCUA
Molecule: transfer RNA, 72 nt
Filed under: Megacopta cribraria (bean plataspid)
Lineage: Eukaryota; Metazoa; Arthropoda; Insecta; Hemiptera; Plataspidae
Description: tRNA-Met
Rfam family: tRNA
About the family: Transfer RNA (tRNA) molecules are approximately 80 nucleotides in length. Their secondary structure includes four short double-helical elements and three loops (D, anti-codon, and T loops).
Source: RNAcentral